UAGUGGACAGACUCCACAAACCCUCUGAUGA
RNAcentral lists this non-coding RNA (31 nucleotides) under Macaca fascicularis (crab-eating macaque). RNAcentral also lists the same sequence under 1 other name. Lineage: Eukaryota; Metazoa; Chordata; Mammalia; Primates; Cercopithecidae. The record is from RNAcentral.